RNAcentral lists this ribosomal RNA (465 nucleotides) under uncultured bacterium. RNAcentral describes it as "partial 16S ribosomal RNA". It matches the Rfam family "Bacterial small subunit ribosomal RNA", at positions 28 to 507 of the family's 1533-position model. The record is from RNAcentral.
GAUGAACGCUGGCGGCGUGCUUAACACAUGCAAGUCGAACGGAAAGGCUCCUGCUUGCAGGGGUACUCGAGUGGCGAACGGGUGAGUAACACGUGGGUGAUCUGCCCUGCACUUCGGGAUAAGCCUGGGAAACUGGGUCUAAUACCGGAUAGGACCACCUUUUGGAUGGUGUGGUGGAACGUUUUUCGGUGUGGGAUGAGCUCGCGGCCUAUCAGCUUGUUGGUGGGGUAAUGGCCUACCAAGGCGUCGACGGGUAGCCGGCCUGAGAGGGUGUACGGCCACAUUGGGACUGAGAUACGGCCCAGACUCCUACGGGAGGCAGCAGUGGGGAAUAUUGCACAAUGGGCGGAAGCCUGAUGCAGCGACGCCGCGUGGGGGAUGACGGCCUUCGGGUUGUAAACUCCUUUCGCUAGGGACGAAGCGCAAGUGACGGUACCGGGAGAAGAAGCACCGGCUAACUACGUG